This 496-nucleotide ribosomal RNA is filed under the name uncultured bacterium. RNAcentral describes it as "partial 16S ribosomal RNA". It matches the Rfam family "Bacterial small subunit ribosomal RNA", at positions 29 to 507 of the family's 1533-position model. The record is from RNAcentral.
AUGAACGCUGGCGGCGUGCCUCAUACCUGCAAGUCGAGCGAACAGACGAGGAGCUUGCUCCUCUGACGUUAGCGGCGGACGGGUGAGUAACACGUGGAUAACCUACCUAUAAGACUGGGAUAACUUCGGGAAACCGGAGCUAAUACCGGAUAACAUGUUGAACCGCAUGGUUCAACAGUGAAAGACGGUCUUGCUGUCACUUAUAGAUGGAUCCGCGCCGCAUUAGCUAGUUGGUAAGGUAACGGCUUACCAAGGCAACGAUGCGUAGCCGACCUGAGAGGGUGAUCAGACACACUGGAACUGAGACACGGUCCAGACUCCUACGGGAGGCAGCAGUAGGGAAUCUUCCGCAAUGGGCGAAAGCCUGACGGAGCAACGCCGCGUGAGUGAAGAAGGUCUUCGGAUCGUAAAACUCUGUUAUUAGGGAAGAACAAAUGUGUAAGUAACUAUGCACGUCUUGACGGUACCUAAUCAGAAAGCCACGGCUAACUACGUG